GGAUCAAUAUGUCGGUCGUGCCCUCGGUACAUACUGGUAUCAUUGGUCUCUCCUUUCUGACGAACCAUGAUGUCAUUAAAUUGGUGUUAUGGGGAGUUAGGACUGUUACUUUGAAAAAAUUAGAGUGUUUAAAGCAAGCUAACGCUUGAAUACAUUAGCAUGGAAUAAUGAAAUAGGACGUUCGAUCCUAUUUUGUUGGUUUCUAGGAUUGACGUA
RNAcentral lists this ribosomal RNA (216 nucleotides) under Campeiostachys nutans. RNAcentral describes it as "Elymus nutans partial small subunit ribosomal RNA". The stretch from base 38 to 216 matches the Rfam family "Eukaryotic small subunit ribosomal RNA", at positions 684 to 864 of the family's 1831-position model. Lineage: Eukaryota; Viridiplantae; Streptophyta; Magnoliopsida; Poales; Poaceae. The record is from RNAcentral.